UUUCCGUAGGUGAACCUGCGGAAGGAUCAUUGUCGAAACCUGCCCAGCAGAGCAACCUGCGAACGUGUACGUAAUAUUCGGAAAGCAAGCGGUGGCCUUGCAGCCCCAAUUGUGGCCCGCUGUUGGGGGGUGCACUCCGACCCCCUAAGGGGAGACGCGUGAACACCCCAACAAAAUAACGAAACCCGGCGCGAACCGCGCCAAGGAACUUUAAGAAAAAAAGAGAGCCUUCCCCCGAUGCCCUGUUCGCGGGUGCUAGGGGGGCAGUGUCAUCUCUCACGAAUCUAAACGACUCUCGGCAACGGAUAUCUCGGCUCUCGAAAUGCGAUACUUGGUGUGAAUUGCAGAAUCCCGUGAACCAUCGAGUUUUUGAACGCAAGUUGCGCCCGAAGCCAUUAGGUUGAGGGCACGUCUGCCUGGGCGUCUCACAUUGCGUCGUUCCCGAUCCCAACCACAACGGGUGUUGGUGUUCGGAAGCGGAUUUUGGCCCCCCGUACACUCGCGUAUGCGGUCGGCCUAAAAACGAGUCCCUGGCGAUGCGUGUCACGACAAGUGGUGGUUGAUAAGCCGUUGCGUCCUGUCGUGCACUGCUUCGUCGCCGGCGGUUCCUCUAACGACCCUGAAGUGCCGUUGCAACGGUGCCUCGAUCGCGACCCCAGGUCAGGCGGGACUACCCGCUGAGUUUAA
Molecule: small RNA, 687 nt
Filed under: Symplocos sp. Wu et al. 912
Lineage: Eukaryota; Viridiplantae; Streptophyta; Magnoliopsida; Ericales; Symplocaceae
Description: eukaryotic LSU rRNA
Rfam family: 5.8S ribosomal RNA (bases 291-426)
Source: RNAcentral